CCUACGGGUGGCAGCAGUCGAGAAUCAUUCACAAUGGGGGAAACCCUGAUGGUGCGACGCCGCGUGGGGGAAUGAAGGUCUUCGGAUUGUAAACCCCUGUCAUGUGGGAGCAAAUUAUAAAGAUAGUACCACAAGAGGAAGAGACGGCUAACUCUGUGCCAGCAGCCGCGGUAAUACAGAGGUCUCAAGCGUUGUUCGGAAUCACUGGGCGUAAAGGGUGCGUAGGCUGUUUCGUAAGUCGUGUGUGAAAGGCGCGGGCUCAACCCGCGGACGGCACAUGAUACUGGGGGACUAGAGUAAUGGAGGGGGAACCGGAAUUCUCGGUGUAGCAGUGAAAUGCGUAGAUAUCGAGAGGAACACUCGUGGCGAAGGCGGGUUCCUGGACAUUAACUGACGCUGAGGCACGAAGGCGAGGGGAGCGAAAGGGAUUAGAUACCCCUGUAGUC
RNAcentral lists this ribosomal RNA (446 nucleotides) under uncultured bacterium. RNAcentral's name for it is "partial 16S ribosomal RNA". It matches the Rfam family "Bacterial small subunit ribosomal RNA", at positions 338 to 795 of the family's 1533-position model. The record is from RNAcentral.